UAGGGAAUCUUCCACAAUGGACGCAAGUCUGAUGGAGCAACGCCGCGUGAGUGAAGAAGGUCUUCGGAUCGUAAAGCUCUGUUGUUGGUGAAGAAGGAUAGAGGCAGUAACUGGUCUUUAUUUGACGGUAAUCAACCAGAAAGUCACGGCUAACUACGUGCCAGCAGCCGCGGUAAUACGUAGGUGGCAAGCGUUGUCCGGAUUUAUUGGGCGUAAAGCGAGCGCAGGCGGAAUGAUAAGUCUGAUGUGAAAGCCCACGGCUCAACCGUGGAACUGCAUCGGAAACUGUCAUUCUUGAGUGCAGAAGAGGAGAGUGGAACUCCAUGUGUAGCGGUGGAAUGCGUAGAUAUAUGGAAGAACACCAGUGGCGAAGGCGGCUCUCUGGUCUGCAACUGACGCUGAGGCUCGAAAGCAUGGGUAGCGAACAGGAUUAGAUACCCUGGUAGUCCAUGCCGUAAAACGAUGAGCGCUAGGU
Molecule: ribosomal RNA, 475 nt
Filed under: uncultured bacterium
Lineage: Bacteria
Description: partial 16S ribosomal RNA
Rfam family: Bacterial small subunit ribosomal RNA
Source: RNAcentral